AUUGAACGCUGGCGGCAGGCCUAACACAUGCAAGUCGAGCGGAUGAAGGGAGCUUGCUCCUGGAUUCAGCGGCGGACGGGUGAGUAAUGCCUAGGAAUCUGCCUGGUAGUGGGGGAUAACGUCCGGAAACGGGCGCUAAUACCGCAUACGUCCUGAGGGAGAAAGUGGGGGAUCUUCGGACCUCACGCUAUCAGAUGAGCCUAGGUCGGAUUAGCUAGUUGGUGGGGUAAAGGCCUACCAAGGCGACGAUCCGUAACUGGUCUGAGAGGAUGAUCAGUCACACUGGAACUGAGACACGGUCCAGACUCCUACGGGAGGCAGCAGUGGGGAAUAUUGGACAAUGGGCGAAAGCCUGAUCCAGCCAUGCCGCGUGUGUGAAGAAAGUCUUCGGAUUGUAAAGCACUUUAAGUUGGGAAGAAGGGCAGUAAGUUAAUACCUUGCUGUUUUGACGUUACCAACAGAAUAAGCACCGGCUAACUUCGUG
This 484-nucleotide ribosomal RNA is filed under the name uncultured bacterium. RNAcentral's name for it is "partial 16S ribosomal RNA". It matches the Rfam family "Bacterial small subunit ribosomal RNA", at positions 30 to 507 of the family's 1533-position model. The record is from RNAcentral.